CAAUCCUAACCCUAGUUCCCAGCCCCCUCUACCCUUGCUCUCUUUCCUGCCCCGCCGCCAGCCUCCACCUCCCUCAGCGCCACCCAUGCCCAACCACCGCGUCCAGAUCCACGUCCCCCUCCCCCAGCACCACCCGUGCACGACCACCCGCUUGACCUCCUGCGUCCCCUCCUCCUCAACGCUUGCACCACGAUGGACACCAACAUCGUCGCCCUCACAGCCGCAUCGAAGAGGAACACACUCGUCUUUGACGCCGAGCAGGACCUCCCGGUCGCGUACUCCAAGUACACGCCGGAGCUCUCCGAGAAGCUUGCUGCCAAGCGACAUCUUUAGAGUCGUGCGCUUUGGCGGAUCCCUCAUCAGGCCGUCAGCUGAAGGACUGGUCGUACGUGAACUGAGUGGAUCGGAGAAAUUGGCAGUUGUUCUUGGUGGAUGAGAGGGUCAUGAGCAUGAGUACUGUACCUACAAGGUCGUUCCAUAUGGUUUGUUCUCCCAAGUUCCGCUCACAACCCGACGAACUACAAGUUAAGCUCAAUACUCUAAUUGCAAACUUCUGCAACUCAGGGCAAUCAUCUCCAUACGAAUCCCACCAAUCAGCUGGCUUUUUUUUAGUUCUUGUCAAAAUAGCUGAUUGCAUUCCAAAUAGGCCAUCAGCAUUCCUAAAUGAAUCAAU
Long non-coding RNA from Hordeum vulgare subsp. vulgare (domesticated barley), 673 nucleotides. RefSeq lists it as uncharacterized. The transcript has 3 exons. The record is from RefSeq and is a predicted model, not a curated record. NCBI's taxonomy places the organism in Eukaryota, Viridiplantae, Streptophyta, Magnoliopsida, Poales, Poaceae.